Molecule: ribosomal RNA, 1090 nt
Filed under: Vibrio harveyi
Lineage: Bacteria; Pseudomonadati; Pseudomonadota; Gammaproteobacteria; Vibrionales; Vibrionaceae
Description: bacterial SSU rRNA
Rfam family: Bacterial small subunit ribosomal RNA
Source: RNAcentral
CGUGUGUGAAGAAGGCCUUCGGGUUGUAAAGCACUUUCAGUCGUGAGGAAGGUAGUGUAGUUAAUAGCUGCAUUAUUUGACGUUAGCGACAGAAGAAGCACCGGCUAACUCCGUGCCAGCAGCCGCGGUAAUACGGAGGGUGCGAGCGUUAAUCGGAAUUACUGGGCGUAAAGCGCAUGCAGGUGGUUUGUUAAGUCAGAUGUGAAAGCCCGGGGCUCAACCUCGGAAUAGCAUUUGAAACUGGCAGACUAGAGUACUGUAGAGGGGGGUAGAAUUUCAGGUGUAGCGGUGAAAUGCGUAGAGAUCUGAAGGAAUACCGGUGGCGAAGGCGGCCCCCUGGACAGAUACUGACACUCAGAUGCGAAAGCGUGGGGAGCAAACAGGAUUAGAUACCCUGGUAGUCCACGCCGUAAACGAUGUCUACUUGGAGGUUGUGGCCUUGAGCCGUGGCUUUCGGAGCUAACGCGUUAAGUAGACCGCCUGGGGAGUACGGUCGCAAGAUUAAAACUCAAAUGAAUUGACGGGGGCCCGCACAAGCGGUGGAGCAUGUGGUUUAAUUCGAUGCAACGCGAAGAACCUUACCUACUCUUGACAUCCAGAGAACUUUCCAGAGAUGGAUUGGUGCCUUCGGGAACUCUGAGACAGGUGCUGCAUGGCUGUCGUCAGCUCGUGUUGUGAAAUGUUGGGUUAAGUCCCGCAACGAGCGCAACCCUUAUCCUUGUUUGCCAGCACUUCGGGUGGGAACUCCAGGGAGACUGCCGGUGAUAAACCGGAGGAAGGUGGGGACGACGUCAAGUCAUCAUGGCCCUUACGAGUAGGGCUACACACGUGCUACAAUGGCGCAUACAGAGGGCGGCCAACUUGCGAGAGUGAGCGAAUCCCAAAAGUGCGUCGUAGUCCGGAUCGGAGUCUGCAACUCGACUCCGUGAGUCGGAAUCGCUAGUAUCGUGGAUCAGAUGCCACGUGAUACGUUCCCGGACAUUGUACACACCGCCCGGUCACACCAUGGGAGUGGGCUGCCAAAGAAGGUAAGUAGUUUACUCCGGAGGACGCUACACUUGUGUUCAUGACUGGGUGAUCGUACCACAUA